RNAcentral lists this transfer RNA (68 nucleotides) under Redunca fulvorufula (mountain reedbuck). RNAcentral's name for it is "tRNA-Phe". It matches the Rfam family "tRNA". From Rfam's summary of the family: Transfer RNA (tRNA) molecules are approximately 80 nucleotides in length. Their secondary structure includes four short double-helical elements and three loops (D, anti-codon, and T loops). The record is from RNAcentral. Lineage: Eukaryota; Metazoa; Chordata; Mammalia; Artiodactyla; Bovidae.
GUUAAUGUAGCUUAAACUUAAAGCAAGGCACUGAAAAUGCCUAGAUGAGUAUCCUAACUCCAUAAACA